UGCUGUCGGGGGGAGUGGACAAAGCCUCUAUAUUUGUAUUGUGUCUUAGGAGGAGGGGGAGGAAGAGGAGAAGCAUUACAGCACAUGUAGGUCACAGUGAGCAGAGGGAAGGUUGGCUUUAUGGAAGCAGGCUUCAGUGUAAUAGUGUGUUGAGCAAUAUCGUGUCAAUUAACAGGCUAAUGUUUAGUAGAAGGAAAUGUAGCCUACUGAUCAGAGCAUGCCUGACGGUCCUAAAACUACAGGCUGCAAAAGUAGCCGUAGCCGGUCACUGUGAUCUGUCUUACACUGUAACAGUCUGCUGAGGGUGAUGCAAUGAACUCCUCCACAUCAUUCCUUGUCCCAAGCAUUGCUCAUAAGCCAACACAGCAGCAGGUCUGGUUUAUUCCCCCCCACCCCGACACACCAGCAAGACCGUGGGCUGACACUGCAGAAGUAUUUCCCCCGCAUGUUGAACAAUACCAGCACUUAUCUUCUGAACAGCUAAAAGCCUCUGACACGUGGUCUGCCAGCAUCAUUACCAAAAAUCUCAUGGUUUAAUUGCCACAAUUCCGAAGGACAUCAAGUGGAGGAAAUUAGCCGCUUCCCGAGUUGGCGUCGGCGGAAUGGUUUCACGCCGCUUAUGCAGUCAGAGCAAACAUUAAGGAUGUUUCAGAGGAAGCCAGAUGCACGUAUCCUACAUUGGGGUUUACUGCUCCAACAAGUUGGCCGGCGUCUCUUCUCGGUGUAGGAUUAUGUUGCUUUGACUUGAGGGAACUGACUGUACAUGCCCGGUUUAAAAUUCCUUUUCAGUUUGACUCCUGUGUCCUUUAAAGUUGUAGCUGCAGCACUUGGUUUGAAGAGCUGGAGGUAAUGUUAAAAGGGUCACAUGAAACACUUUAAAUGUGAUAACUUCUGGUUCAUAUUGUUUGAAGAGAUAAGAGUGAUUCAAAGCCCUACUAAGGAUGCUUUUGAAUUUACUUAUCAGCAUUCAAGCAGGCUUUUUCUUCCCCCCUACCUGGUUAGUGUGAUAUAUCAAGGGAACCUUAGAAAGCAGGGUUUAGCCUGCAAGGACCCCGUUUCAUCUGCUAACCUUGCUGGUAAGGUCAGUUCUUUAUUCCUGAUGUGAAAAUGGUACGUUUCCAGGAUUUGAAUAUGCUGGCAGGAGAAACGCAGCCUGUGUAAUUCUUGAGUAGGGGCUAAUCAGAGCCAUCUACAGGAGUGUCUCGAGUGGUUACUUGGCUGAGUCCAGUGGUAGGGCAGCCUGCAGUUAAUCAGCUCUGCCCUCGCUAGGAGGUGUUAUUGUGGUCAAUGUGAAUUACUGCAGAGACCAGCUAGGACGCAAAGCUUAUUCCGACAGCAAAAAAGGGCAAAUUAAAGUGUUUCAUCGGCUCAGUAAGUACCUCAAAGUUCUGGAAUUCAGUUUGGGCUGUAAAUUCCAUGUUGUAACUGAGGAGUCUUUUUUUUUCCUGGGUCUCCCCUAAACGCAGACUCUAUGGGCCUGCAAAAUUCAAACCUUAAUAGAAACCUACCCCAGCCACUGCCGUUCUAUUAAAUAUUCAGUCCUGAUUUCCAUUCCAGGAUUGGGCUAAUGUUGGCUGCCCAAUGCUGUGUAGAGCAUGAUUCUUGUGGGGCACGCGUUUAAUUGGAAAAGGAAUUCAGUAAAUCUGUUUGCCAGGGUCAGGCUAUAUUGGCGGUUGUAGAAGUCUGUGUCUGUAGGCAACUUUUACCAAUCCCAUUUUCCUUUUACUCACUAGGGUGGUGGUGGUAAUGCUGAGUUUGUAUCAGGCUUCGGAGUUUGCACGCUAAUUAUGCCCACCAUUAGUCCUGUGGGACAGAACUCAGAUUUUCCUGCAUCCACAUUUUAGAACUGUUUGACAUCAUGGGAACGAUCGAUGCGACAAAUUAAGCCUUUGGCUUCAUGGCGUGAGAAGUUACAAAGGGGAUGAAAUGAAGAAAAGGGCUGGCAACUUACGAGAACAGGCUACUACUUCAUCUCUGCCCUAUCUGAGACCAUGAAAGCCUGCAGUCUAGCCCCUGGAAUGAAAAUACUGAAACAACAAGUACUAAGUAAACAACCAAGACUGACAUGUAGUGAAACCUGUGACCAUCAGAGAGGAGAGGGCAGGAUUAGCUCCUCCCCACUGUAACAGAACCACGAACACCAUUUUCCCAUUUCUUUGUAGUAUCGUCCCGUGUGUGUUUAACAAACCCUUGACCAGCCAGCACUUCACUGGUGCAGCAAGUGCCUCUUACUUGCUGAUGCUCCUGGCACAUUCGUCUACUGAAACAAGACCACCAUCACCAGAUUUGGGGAGGGGAAGGACUAGAACGAUGCAGGGGGAGAGGGGCAUAGUGUAAGAAAGCCCCUACUUUGCUGCUCUAAGACCUCAUGGUACCAGGGUACCCUUCAUUGUCUUUUCCUACUGCUUUCAGAGGGCAGCCAGACAGCUAGCUAGCUGAUGCAUUGGUCCAGUCACUUUGUUAAAUAAAUAAGGUACAGUUAGACAUCCA
This is a long non-coding RNA of Trachemys scripta elegans, 2490 nucleotides long. RefSeq lists it as uncharacterized. The record is from RefSeq and is a predicted model, not a curated record. The transcript is spliced from 3 exons. Lineage: Eukaryota; Metazoa; Chordata; Testudines; Emydidae.